Molecule: long non-coding RNA, 628 nt
Organism: Colius striatus (speckled mousebird)
Lineage: Eukaryota; Metazoa; Chordata; Aves; Coliiformes; Coliidae
Exons: 5
Source: RefSeq, a predicted model, not a curated record
GUCUUUUCUUGAUAGAUUGUCAAAACAAUCCCAGGAUUGCCUUUCAAGGAAAAUCCAGCAGUUCACACAGACAGGCUUCAGCAGUGCUUAAAUUCCGAUCCUUUGAACACACAUAGAACUGAAAAUGAGCAACAGAUCACAGAAACAUAGACUCACUGAGGCUGUAAGGGACCACUGAGAAUGGCUCACACAGCUCCAAGUUGUACAGCCUUGUAUGGACAGUGAAAGAACCGCUGUGUUACUCAAAAUACUGGCUUUUACCCGCAGUAAUCUUCAGAAGGUGCUGACAUUCACUAAUUCAGGAGAUGAGGCAGAAAUGGUUCAUCGGGUGAGCAUCAUUUUACACAGAAUGCAGGGAGGGCUCUACUCCAGCACACCUCCUCCUCUCUUUCAUCACUGACCUUGGAGUCUGCAUGGUUGUUUCUCUCACUGUUCCUACUCCUUGCACCACCACCAGCCAGAAGAAGACAGGGCAGAAGAAAGAAGAAUGGAGGAAGAAACCUCCUCUUCAGGCUUCUUGUUACAAAGUGAUGGUGGAGGUGUCUCAUUGGCUCAGCCCCAGCAGUGGGUCUGGCUCAGAGCUGGGGAGAGCUGCAAGCAACUUCUUCCAGGAGUCAUCUUUACAGCC